Molecule: long non-coding RNA, 637 nt
Organism: Vanessa tameamea
Lineage: Eukaryota; Metazoa; Arthropoda; Insecta; Lepidoptera; Nymphalidae
Exons: 3
Source: RefSeq, a predicted model, not a curated record
CAAAUCCAUCGAAAAAGGUAGAAAAAGAAUGAAGAAGAAUGAAGUUCCCACUUGUCUCAAUAUCUGUCACAUAAAAAUGUCAAUAAACGUCGAAAUUCUAUUAUACAAUUUUAAAUAACAAAAUUUACAAAAAUGUUUAUUAUAUCCGAAUCGUCGACGUGUUCUUUAAUUUUUUUUAAUAAAGGAACCUAAACGAUCUAACAAACAUGUGCGACUGUGCUGAAGAACAAGAGAGCCAAGAAAGCGACCUUCGACAACGCCAAAGAAUACCAGUAGUUGACUCAUCACAGUCGAGUUGGUGGGUUUUACAGUGGUGGAGUAGUUCCGGUUCAGGACACGGCGAUGAUUCCACGGUCAAGGUGUGGUUUCCUAUUCUCGGCAGUACAGCAGCACUCAUGGGCUUGAUGGCUUUACUGUAUAAGCAUUUUAAUAAAUUAAAAGCUUUGGUGUGGAAAACUAAACCAAUUUGCGAUACUAAGGUUAAACGCAAAUCUUCGCCAGAAAAAAUCAAAAUAUGUGUUUGUAAGGAUUAAUUUAGACUUAUCUUGUUGUCAGCAAUUUGUUGUCAGGAAUUGCAAAAAAUAUCGACGACUUAUAUUAAAAUAAAUAAUGCUAUGAAUCUAAACCCUAAUAAAUA